GCUAACGCCAAGAAUUGCAAUUUUUUGUUUGGUAAACGUGCGUAUUAAAAACUAAAAUUUUGAUUACAGGCUGCGCAGUGAACCAGACAAAGUUACUAAAAACAUUGAGUAUAGAAUAGCUGCCAUAGUUUGUGUAUAUUUAAAAAAGUUUGGCAAAACUAUAAAGUUGAGAAAAUUCAUCGAGAAUUUUAGCAAUUGGAAGUAAAUUAGAUACGAAGUAAAUUGUUGGUGGUGUGCCCUCAACCACGGUUGUGGUCGUCAUUGGUUGGUCGGCUCUGCGAACGCAAGCGAGUGCCACCAGGAUUUUUUGAAAAAGAUCUGUUCUAAUACAUUCUCUAAAUCUACUCGUUUUAUAUGAAGCUCGUAAUUCAAAGCAAUUGGUUGAGAAUAAGAUAUGCUGAGAUCAUAAAAAAUGAUGGAAACUACAAGCGAUCAAGACGUGGAGAAUACCGAAACUAAGGAGGACUCAGUUAUAAAAAUCCUUCGAAAUGCAAAACU
Molecule: long non-coding RNA, 498 nt
Organism: Anastrepha obliqua
Lineage: Eukaryota; Metazoa; Arthropoda; Insecta; Diptera; Tephritidae
Exons: 3
Source: RefSeq, a predicted model, not a curated record